RNAcentral lists this ribosomal RNA (531 nucleotides) under Duplachionaspis divergens. Its description in RNAcentral is "eukaryotic LSU rRNA". Lineage: Eukaryota; Metazoa; Arthropoda; Insecta; Hemiptera; Diaspididae. The record is from RNAcentral.
AUCUGGGCGACGGAAUUCAGGACGGCUGGCGGGUCUCGCGCUCGUCCGGCCGUUUGAUAUUUCCGUCGCCGUGUCAGACGUCGCGACCUGAUUUGUCGUCGGUCCUUGCUCGGAGGAAUCGCGAUCGAGUUCGUUGCGGGCGCGCCUCGGUGUGUUCCGCGGCGAAGACGCGACUCUCUGGCUGACGACGGACAGUAAGCAACGGUGGCCGGCGUCGUGUCUCGCACUCGGCGUCGGUACCGGUCAGCGACGAUUUCUUCGGGCCUCUUUCCGACCCGUCUUGAAACACGGACCAAGGAGUCUAACAUGCGCGCGAGUCGCGGGGUUUCGAGCGUGCCACGGUGCGCUCGUUACUUCCGAAACCCGUACGUUGAAGGCGUAAUGAAAGUGAACAGGGAAGAUGGCGUUCCGAGUCCACGUACCGUGAUCGAGUAUCGCGGCCGGACGCCCGCACUCCCGGGGCGUCUCAAUGGCUCGCCACGGAUGCGGACGGUCGUCUUUCGGGGCGGUCGUCGGUCUGUGGCGGGCCGA